RNAcentral lists this non-coding RNA (44 nucleotides) under Echinostoma caproni. Lineage: Eukaryota; Metazoa; Platyhelminthes; Trematoda; Plagiorchiida; Echinostomatidae. The record is from RNAcentral.
GCAUGCUGACGAGUCCAAAACGGGACGAAACAGCCGUACAGUGC